AGUGAACGCUGGCGGCAGGCCUAACACAUGCAAGUCGAACGGCAGCACAGUAAGAUCUUGCUCUUACGGGUGGCGGGUGGCGGACGGGUGAGGAAUGCAUCGGAAUCUACUUUUUCGUGGGGGAUAACGUAGGUAAACUUACUCUAAUACCGCAUAUGAUGUACGGUUGAAAGCAGUGGAUCUUCUGACCUGUCGCGAUUGAAUGAGCCGAUGUCGGAUUAGCUGGUUGGCGGGGUAAAGGCCCACCAAGGCGACGAUCCGUAGCUUGUCUGAGAGGAUGAUCAGCCACACUGGAACUGAGACACGGUCCAGACUCCUACGGGAGGCAGCAGUGGGGAAUAUUGGACAAUGGGCGCAAGCCUGAUCCAGCCAUACCGCGUGGGUGAAGAAGGCCUUCGGGUUGUAAAGCCCUUUUGUUGGGAAAGAAAAGCAGCAGGUUAAUACCCCGCUGUUCUGACGGUACCCAAAGAAUAAGCACCGGCUAACUUCGUG
This 492-nucleotide ribosomal RNA is filed under the name uncultured bacterium. RNAcentral describes it as "partial 16S ribosomal RNA". It matches the Rfam family "Bacterial small subunit ribosomal RNA", at positions 29 to 507 of the family's 1533-position model. The record is from RNAcentral.